CUUGACGCGGAGAGGUCGGACUGCCUCGGCUCGGGGUGGGGGGACAGAAACACCAAAAAACACACGCGUAAAGACUCCACUCCCGUCUCCCCCCCCCACCUUCUUUUAUUUCCUGUCAGCUUUUUCUUUUUUUUUCUUCUUGCGAUUUAUUUCCUGCAGCCGCACCAGGAACCCGGGACCGAGCUCCUGCUCCGAGGAUGAGAGAAAACUAGAUUUGCGAUCGAGGCUGUUUCUGAGGUUGUUUCUCUGGAUUUAUUCGGCGGCGGAGGAGGCGCAGAGAACCGGGAGCGGAGCUGCGCGCAAAAACAAGCCGAGGUCUUCCUCCUCUCCUCCCCUCUCCUCUCCCUCUAUCUCUCACUCUAUCUGCCUGUCUACCCAUCCUCUUCUAUCCAUCUCUCUCCGUGUGUUUCCAUGUUUCUCUAGGUCCGGGAGAUUUUGCUAAAAUGCAUCAUCAACAGCGGAUGGCAGCUUUGGGAACAGACAAGGAACUGAGUGACUUACUGGAUUUCAGCGCAAUGCGAAACAGCGAUUUGAAAAUGUUCCCAACAUCCAUGAUGUUUUCCCCUCCUGUUAGCAGUGGAAAGAACGGCCCGACCUCCCUGGGGAGCGGACAUUUCUCCAGCUCAAGUA
Non-coding RNA from Paralichthys olivaceus (Japanese flounder), 630 nucleotides. The record is from RefSeq and is a predicted model, not a curated record. NCBI's taxonomy places the organism in Eukaryota, Metazoa, Chordata, Actinopteri, Pleuronectiformes, Paralichthyidae.